This is a long non-coding RNA of Stegodyphus dumicola, 1101 nucleotides long. The record is from RefSeq and is a predicted model, not a curated record. Lineage: Eukaryota; Metazoa; Arthropoda; Arachnida; Araneae; Eresidae.
GUGCUGUAUCAGUUAAAAUGUGGCGCAUGCCUGUGAAAAACAAACGCAGUUAUCAAGGUUAUCUGACUUAAAGGUUUAAUACGACUUCUAAUUGCGUUUAACAAGUGAUAACAGUCGCAUGACUGUUACCAAAAUUCUGUUAUCUAAUUCUACCCGGACAUUUUUUACACAUCAGAAAGCUGAAGCAAAUUUGUUUUUCAAGCUGCAAGUCUUUUAUGCAGGCAACUCAACACUCGCAUCCAACUUAUUAAAAUAUACGUAUUACGUUUGUCUUCGACGUUGCUAUUAUAUUUAAAAUUUCAGAAGACGAUUCUACGCUUUAGGAAUCAAAGAUGGAAUCGUCUUCUUUACAAUGGGAUGUAUGUUGGCAUUAUGAGAAAAUCCGUGCUGUUAUGCAUAAAUUCGGAGGAUUAGUAACAGUUCGGAAUAAAUAUAAAUGGAGAUAUUUUAAUAGACGCACAUGGAUUUAUUGUACUGAUAAGAGCAAAAGUCUGUUUGUAAAUGCAGUGGAAGUUCAGAAAAAAGGAAACCAAUUAAGCAAAAUUUUAAGAUAUUUUUAUGGCUGGGGGAUGGCUUUAUUGAUGGCUGUAGUCUUCCAAAUGGAUUAUCGUACUUUAAUACAAUGUACGAUAAUCUAUUUGGAAGAAUAUAUCCGCAAUCCUUCUCUAAUCAGAAGAUUGCAAGAAUUAUAUAAUUAAAAUAAUGGUUGGAAACAUUCUUAUUAGGAUGUGAGCAUCCUUAUGCAGCGGCACCACUAUGAAAGUUUCUGUUUCUAUCAACAGCGGUCGAUUGGCGUAAAGGCGAAGGAGCCUUUAUGAUGGGACACCGCUAGGAAGCUGUCAGGCAUCAAGCCAUGAGUUACCAACAUGAGGCAAUACAGUAAAUGUAGAGAGAUUAUUAAAAGAAAAUUAAAUCGAAGGGCCCGAAAACCUGUCAAGUCCUAAACUUACCGAUGACUUGUGCACUGAUAAUCACCUACAGAGGCUCACAGAAGUUUUCGUAUACUUACGAGUUUCAGUGAAAUAUUGUUUUAUUCAUUAAUAAAAAUUUAUAUUGUAGAAUGAAAAUUUGUAAAUAAUACUUAUAAAUAUCUCUAAGAAA